Molecule: ribosomal RNA, 301 nt
Filed under: uncultured bacterium
Lineage: Bacteria
Description: partial 16S ribosomal RNA
Rfam family: Bacterial small subunit ribosomal RNA
Source: RNAcentral
CAGUAGCCGCGGGAAUACAGAGGGUGCGAGCGUUAAUCGGAUUUACUGGGCGUAAAGCGUGCGUAGGCGGCUUCUUAAGUCGGAUGUGAAAUCCCUGAGCUUAACUUAGGAAUUGCAUUCGAUACUGGGAAGCUAGAGUAUGGGAGAGGAUGGUAGAAUUCCAGGUGUAGCGGUGAAAUGCGUAGAGAUCUGGAGGAAUACCGAUGGCGAAGGCAGCCAUCUGGCCUAAUACUGACGCUGAGGUACGAAAGCAUGGGGAGCAAACAGGAUUAGAUACCCGAGUAGUCCCUGUCUCUUAUAU